GAUUUUGAGAGCCUUUCUCUCUGUUGAAAUUUGAUCAAAUUUAAAACAGUAAAAUGAAGGUUUUCUAUUUUUUUACAUGCUUCUGGAAAAUGAACAAAAAAAAAAAAAAAAAAAAAAAUUGCACAACAGCCACAUUAAUAUAGCAAUGUAGAGGUCUUGGAUCCUGCUUUUCGGCUCUUCUGUUUUCCAGGUGAAGGCAUUGGAGCUUGUAAUCAAUUCUUUAUCUCUAAUGAUACUUUCUAUUUUAUUUCAGGUCCUCAUCAAACUUUUUCUAUCAUUGUGCUUUUCAUCUUCCCUCAAGUGCUGUUGUUUCAACUUCUGGUAUCAUCCAAUUCAUUACCUCUUGCCAUUAGUUGUUCUUAUGCUUCCAAAAUAUCAAGAAAACAAGAUUGUGUCAAAAUGUCAUUGGAAUUCAAUUAUGCUCCGAGAACUGCCAGUGAUGAGUUAUUGAAUGUCCAAGAAGUUUUCAUUGUCUUCCUCUUCCUCAUUUCAGAAAGGAAUAGAAAUUUUUAAAAAAGAGAAGAGAAACCUCUUGAAAAGUGUGUGUAUCUAGUAUGUUUUCAUUUUUCUAACUGGGAAUAGAUUAUUGUUAUUUUCAUUAUAUGAUUAUUUAUUUAUUAAUUAAUGUUUUUCUCAUUUUGAUACUAAUUAAGCGUUUGUUUAAGAAUGUACUCCUUAUUUGUGAAAGUCUCUUUUUGCAUUUUAGAUCCAAAGCUUUUAAUUUCCUAAUUUGUGGUUUUAAUCCAAGUUCCUUAAUUUUUCUAAAUGUUUUUUAUUCUGAAAAAGUAGGUAACAUGGUUAGAAGACUUAAAUCUUAAAUUUUCCCUUACCUCCUCCACUGAAAUAAAUUAAUCAAAAAUAUUUUCUGAGAAAGGUAUUUUUCUACGUUUUAUUAGGGUGUUGGAAUUGAUUUUCAAUGAGGGAAUAUUUUCACGCUCCAGAAUUAGCUUAUUUUUCUAUUUGAAUUGAUGUUAGGUAAAUCCCUCUUUAAUAAAAAUCAAAUCCCCUAAUUUAUUUUGUUUUAAGUACAUACAUACUCUCACUUUGUGUCUGUCCCAAGUAUUAUUGCUUGUUAUUUAUUUAUUUUGUCUGCUUUUUUAUUUGAUCAUCAUGAAUUAAUUUAUGUUUUUCACUCUUAUCAAUAUUUAUUUUUAAAGAAUUUAUAAUAUAAUCGUUCUAUUAUUUACUAUGAUUACACUUAUUUUAACUUGCUUGUGUUGAAUAAAUGAAAAGUGGUAUUACUAUUUUACAAUGGUAUUUUUCUGUGUCUGUAAACUACUUGUAUUAAGUUUUAAACCAGCACUCUAGAGGUGACUUUCAAGAAAAAACGCUCUUGCACCAAGUGUAAUUCAGUAACAGGUUUAUUUCAAAAUUCAAGUUUAAAUAUGGCCAGUGUAAAAUUAAUCUCACAUGCUCCUCUUAAUGAAUCAGACUCGGAUGUCUGCUCGUAAAGUCAAAAUUUUAAAAGCUUAUUCUAUAUAAAUAAUAAAAAUUGUAUAAAUAUAAAUUGAAAGCCCAAUGGCAGUAUCUCGGAAUACUCUGCUCUCUAUUGCCA
This 1555-nucleotide long non-coding RNA is filed under the name Bemisia tabaci. Its description in RNAcentral is "lncRNA ENSSWEETPG009245". The record is from RNAcentral. Lineage: Eukaryota; Metazoa; Arthropoda; Insecta; Hemiptera; Aleyrodidae.